Molecule: long non-coding RNA, 372 nt
Organism: Vidua macroura (Pin-tailed whydah)
Lineage: Eukaryota; Metazoa; Chordata; Aves; Passeriformes; Viduidae
Exons: 3
Source: RefSeq, a predicted model, not a curated record
AAGAGCCUUGCCUCUCUUAGGAAAAUCAGUGAUGGUUCAUGGAAUGAGGAAAAAAUUAUCGACUCUGUCUCAGAAGACCUAGAAAUUGCUCAGUGAUUAGACAGCGGGCUGGAAGGAAAGCAAAGGCACUGCUCUCAUGCAUAAUGGUGCGUGUGCUGAUGAGCCUUCUAAGAAUGGAGUGGCUGCAGCAACUGAAAAAUGGAGAUGACAACAAAGUCAGGAUGUUGAUCAGGCAAGCAAUAGACAAUUGUAACAACUGGAUCUCAACACCUCUCCCUGACCUCUCCUCUCUGGACUGGGAAAAAUGGCUGACCAGAGAAAGGGCUCCUUUUGACAGGAAGUCUCUUCUGCUGCCCAGAAAUCACAGCAUCA